Molecule: unclassified non-coding RNA, 595 nt
Filed under: Bombus terrestris (buff-tailed bumblebee)
Lineage: Eukaryota; Metazoa; Arthropoda; Insecta; Hymenoptera; Apidae
Description: misc RNA ENSBTSG00005023811.1
Source: RNAcentral
UGAUAUCGAGUAGUAUACAUACAUAACCUCAAAGAACAUUAUGAUACUUACGAACAUCGCUAAACAAGUAGUGCGAACGAUGUCGACAUUUCGCUUGGCGUUGGUACAACUUCAAGUAAAUGAAGUAAAAAGCAAAAAUGUAGAGCGGGCAGUUUCCUACAUUUCCAGCGCGAAAGAGCAUAAUGCUGAUAUUAUCGCUCUUCCUGAAUGCUUUAAUUCACCAUAUGGAAUACAAUAGUUUCCAAAAUACGCCGAGAGUAUUCCCGAUGAAACGGUGAAACGAGCGUUGCUUUAUCGAAGGCAGCUAAGGAAAACAGCAUUUAUGUAGUUGGUGGUACGAUACCUGAAAUAGAGGGCGAUAAAUUGUACAAUACCUGCUGUACUAUUUGGGGUCCCGAUGGAACUUUGAUAGCAAAACACCGGAAGGUACAUCUAUUCGACAUCGACAUUCCCAACAAGAUUACUUUCCGAGAGAGUGAUUCACUCAGUCCUGGUGAUUCCCUAACAAUGUUUGAUGUGAAGGGCUGGAAAAUAGGUAUUGGCAUUUGCUAUGAUAUCAGAUUCGAGGAAAUGGCACGCAUUUAUCGGAACAAAG